RNAcentral lists this long non-coding RNA (1104 nucleotides) under Coffea arabica (coffee). Its description in RNAcentral is "long non-coding RNA (CARA_LNC006499)". Lineage: Eukaryota; Viridiplantae; Streptophyta; Magnoliopsida; Gentianales; Rubiaceae. The record is from RNAcentral.
CAAUGUGAAAUCUCAACAUUUGAAGUUGAAUCAAGUGAGAGAAACUGUGCAAUUGAUAUUCCAAUCAAACUCAUCCCAAUGUUUGACACCGUCGAUCGAGAAUUACCACUGGUUAUUUUACCUGCUUCAACAAAAUUUUCUGGUUAAAUGGCAUCUACAAGUCAUAUUGAAAGCAGGAACCUAAGAGGCCAAAUAUGCAUAAUAGCAUAAAUUAAUGAAGCAUGCAACAAAAAAUCACCAGACAGAUGAAUUAGUUAUAUAGCUUAGUCAACCGUAGUCCUAACAUAAAGGCCAUAGCUUAUAGAUAAGGAACACUUGCCCUUUUAAUCUAGUGGAAAAUAUAUGCUUCAUAAUGCUUAAAGCUAGGGAACAAAGAUGCUCUAAUAACCUUUCUGUGGCCUUGGCAUUCCAAAAAAAGGACUAAUUUAUGUAUUUGGUCAUUUCAAGAACCCUGACUUGGCUUCUCAAAUUUCAAAAAGCAGAAAUUUGAAUCAUUUUUUAGUUUAUCUGGAAGGACAAAAGUUCUUUAGGAAACAGUAUAUUGAGACCUUCAUAAUACAGAACCUUAAACUGCAGCUGCAUUGGCCUAUUUUUUAGCCAUGAUAAUACAGAACCUUAAACUUCAGAUGCAGAAAUUGGACGUUUUGCAGCCAUGAUGUAAAUCCAUAUUGAGAUAAUAUGUUUAUAACUGAAAUUAGCUAGAUCACUAUAGACAUGUCUUUGAAGAAUACUCAAGAAAGGAAAAGGAAAAAAAGGACAACAGAAAAGGUCAGAUAAGAAGGCUACCUUGAUCAUCAGAUUAUUCAUCAACAAAACUAAAGCUGUUUCUGGUUGGAGAGUCCCAAAAUAUCAAAAUUAAAAAUAAAAUUCAGAGAAGCGAUUCUGAUAAUGGAGAUGGACAAUUAAUCUUCCUCUUUCUCAUCUCUCAGCAGUAUCUCCUGCAUUUCUUUGUUCUUGGAGUUGGAGAGAGAGUUUUGAGAGGGUUUGAGGUGUGAAGAGAAUAGAGGGCAGAAAAAGGAUCUGAGGGGGAAAAAAACGAUGUGAUCUGAUAAUUUUUUUCCUUUUUGAUCCAGAGGUUAACUGAACCAAAAAAAAAAAGACACU